This is a non-coding RNA of Myotis lucifugus (little brown bat), 46 nucleotides long. Lineage: Eukaryota; Metazoa; Chordata; Mammalia; Chiroptera; Vespertilionidae. The record is from Rfam.
CUAAAGGCCCUUUUUAGGGCCACCCAUAGAGUCCUAGGAAGAGCUG